RNAcentral lists this ribosomal RNA (470 nucleotides) under uncultured Latescibacterota bacterium. RNAcentral describes it as "bacterial SSU rRNA". It matches the Rfam family "Bacterial small subunit ribosomal RNA", at positions 920 to 1382 of the family's 1533-position model. The record is from RNAcentral. Lineage: Bacteria; Pseudomonadati; Candidatus Latescibacterota.
CCCGCACAAGCGGUGGAGCAUGUGGUUUAAUUCGACGCAACGCGAAAAACCUUACCUGGGCUUGACAUGCUGGUAGUAGUGAACCGAAAGGGAAACGAUCCUGAGCAAUCAGGAAGCCAACACAGGUGCUGCAUGGCUGUCGUCAGCUCGUGUCGUGAGAUGUUGGGUUAAGUCCCGCAACGAGCGCAACCCUUAUCCCCAGUUGCCAUCAGGUAAAGCUGGGAACUCUGGGGAGACUGCCGGUGAUAAACCGGAGGAAGGCGGGGAUGACGUCAAGUCCUCAUGGCCCUUACAUCCCGGGCUACACACGUGCUACAAUGGCAGGUACAGAGGGCUGCGAAGCCGCGAGGUGGAGCGAAUCCCAGAAAACCUGUCUCAGUCCGGAUUGAAGUCUGCAACUCGACUUCAUGAAGGCGGAAUCGCUAGUAACCGCGAAUCAGCAGGUCGCGGUGAAUACGUUCCCGGGCCUU